GAUGAACGCUGGCGGCGUGCCUAAUACAUGCAAGUCGAGCGAACAGACGAGGAGCUUGCUCCUCUGACGUUAGCGGCGGACGGGUGAGUAACACGUGGAUAACCUACCUAUAAGACUGGGAUAACUUCGGGAAACCGGAGCUAAUACCGGAUAAUAUAUUGAACCGCAUGGUUCAAUAGUGAAAGACGGUUUUGCUGUCACUUAUAGAUGGAUCCGCGCCGCAUUAGCUAGUUGGUAAGGUAACGGCUUACCAAGGCAACGAUGCGUAGCCGACCUGAGAGGGUGAUCGGCCACACUGGAACUGAGACACGGUCCAGACUCCUACGGGAGGCAGCAGUAGGGAAUCUUCCGCAAUGGGCGAAAGCCUGACGGAGCAACGCCGCGUGAGUGAUGAGGGUCUUCGGAUCGUAAAACUCUGUUAGUAGGGAAGAACAAAUGUGUAAGUAACUAUGCCCGUCUUGACGGUACCUAGUCAGAAAUCCACGGCUAACUACGUG
This 497-nucleotide ribosomal RNA is filed under the name uncultured bacterium. Its description in RNAcentral is "partial 16S ribosomal RNA". It matches the Rfam family "Bacterial small subunit ribosomal RNA", at positions 28 to 507 of the family's 1533-position model. The record is from RNAcentral.